Molecule: ribosomal RNA, 254 nt
Filed under: uncultured bacterium
Lineage: Bacteria
Also listed under: 1 other name
Description: partial 16S ribosomal RNA
Rfam family: Bacterial small subunit ribosomal RNA
Source: RNAcentral
UACGUAGGGGGCGAGCGUUGUCCGGAUUCAUUGGGCGUAAAGCGCUUUAAGGCGGUUCGCUAAGUCGCGUGUGAAAACUCCAGGCUCAACCUGGAGACGCCACGUGAUACUGGCGUGACUAGAGUUCGGUAGGGGAUCACGGAAUUCCUGGUGUAGCGGUGAAAUGCGCAGAUAUCAGGAGGAACACCGGUGGCGAAGGCGGUGAUCUGGGCCGACACUGACGCUGUAGAGCGAAAGCGUGGGGAGCGAACAGG